UCCGGUUGAUCCUGCCGGAGGCCACUGCCCUUGGGGUCCGACUAAGCCAUGCGAGUCAUGGGGCGCCUUGCCCUUUACCGGCGGACGGCUCAGUAACACGUCGGUAACCUACCCUCGGGAGGGGGAUAACCCCGGGAAACUGGGGCUAAUCCCCCGUAGGCCUGAGGUACUGGAAGGUCCUCAGGCCGAAAGGGUCUUUGACCGCCCGAGGAUGGGCCGGCGGCCGAUUAGGUAGUUGGUGGGGUAACGGCCCACCAAGCCGAAGAUCGGUACGGGCCAUGAGAGUGGGAGCCCGGAGAUGGACACUGAGACACGGGUCCAGGCCCUACGGGGCGCAGCAGGCGCGAAACCUCCGCAAUGCUCGAAAGAGCGACGGGGGGACUUUUUUUGUCGUGGCAUCGCCACGGCUUUUCCGGAGUGUAAAGAGCUCCGGGAAUAAGGGCUGGGCAAGGCCGGUGGCAGCCGCCGCGGUAAUACCGGCGGCCCGAGUGGUGGCCGCUAUUAUUGGGCCUAAAGCGUCCGUAGCCGGGCCAGUAAGUCCCUGGCGAAAUCCCACGGCUCAACCGUGGGGCUUGCUGGGGGAUACUGCUGGC
Molecule: ribosomal RNA, 593 nt
Filed under: uncultured archaeon
Lineage: Archaea
Description: bacterial SSU rRNA
Rfam family: Archaeal small subunit ribosomal RNA
Source: RNAcentral